Molecule: long non-coding RNA, 218 nt
Filed under: Setaria italica (foxtail millet)
Lineage: Eukaryota; Viridiplantae; Streptophyta; Magnoliopsida; Poales; Poaceae
Description: long non-coding RNA (SITA_LNC005489)
Source: RNAcentral
CCAGCACCAGGCCGCGUGCACUACGCAGGCCAGCGACAUGGCCCAGCUCAGUGGCCAGCAGCCCAGCAGGCCGCUCGCUUCACAGGCCAAGCAGGCCUUUCACGUGAGGCAGGCCUAGCAAGGUCAGGUGGGCCGACAGGAAGUAGCAGGGGCACGCAGCCCAAUAGCACUUGUCCAGGUGUGAAGCAGGCCGUGCGGACCAGUGAGCUUUUCCUUUG